GGAAGUGAAAGUCGUAACAAGGUUUCCGUAGGUGAACCUGCGGAAGGAUCAUUCAUAAUAAGUGUUUUACUGCACUUUUUAAAAAUAGUACUCACCUUGUGUGCAAUGUUGUGUUUCUUUUCGGAGAAACACCUACACCAACCUAUAACCUUGAACCACUUUGUCUGAAAAACUAUUAUGAAUACUUAAUUCAAAAUACAACUUUCAACAACGGGUCUCUUGGCUCUA
This 228-nucleotide unclassified non-coding RNA is filed under the name plant metagenome. Its description in RNAcentral is "partial contains small subunit ribosomal RNA and internal transcribed spacer 1". The stretch from base 1 to 54 matches the Rfam family "Eukaryotic small subunit ribosomal RNA", at positions 1778 to 1831 of the family's 1831-position model. The record is from RNAcentral.